Molecule: transfer RNA, 73 nt
Filed under: Albula goreensis
Lineage: Eukaryota; Metazoa; Chordata; Actinopteri; Albuliformes; Albulidae
Rfam family: tRNA
About the family: Transfer RNA (tRNA) molecules are approximately 80 nucleotides in length. Their secondary structure includes four short double-helical elements and three loops (D, anti-codon, and T loops).
Source: Rfam by way of RNAcentral
GCCUAGUUAGCGCAGUAGGUAGCACAUCAGUCUCAUAAUCUGAAGGCCAUGAGUUCAACCCUCACACAGGGCA